UUUUUUUGGUGGGUUUUAGCGAUGAACAAAAUGAACCCGGAUAAAGUGAGUGAACAGUUUUUGACAGCUCAUCAGCUAAAAUGGCGAUUCCAGCGUCUUUUCCAUUGCUACAAAUCUCCAUUGUUGGCUUAAAAUUCUGCGAAUUUGGCGACUAGAAAAAGUUGGUGCUAAAAAAAUAACGCGACAAAAAAGCAAAAUAUGGAAAACCGCAAUAGCAAAAGAGUGACAAGGAUCAAAAAUAUAUGCUCGUUCAAUAUUUGGAGGAUCAUAGAGAAUUUGCUCACGACAGAUUCGUCAAUGGCACCGGGAGCAAAAGUUUAGCUGAGCAGUGGAACCACCUCGCCGAAAAAUUAAAUGCUUGCGGAGGAUCCAUAAAAGAUGGUGAAGGAUGGAAGAGAGCGUGG
Rhagoletis zephyria (snowberry fruit fly) is the source of this 404-nucleotide long non-coding RNA. RefSeq lists it as uncharacterized. Lineage: Eukaryota; Metazoa; Arthropoda; Insecta; Diptera; Tephritidae. The record is from RefSeq and is a predicted model, not a curated record.